RNAcentral lists this long non-coding RNA (15442 nucleotides) under Brassica napus (rape). RNAcentral's name for it is "long non-coding RNA (BNAP_LNC017931)". Lineage: Eukaryota; Viridiplantae; Streptophyta; Magnoliopsida; Brassicales; Brassicaceae. The record is from RNAcentral.
UGUGGAAAGCCUCGUUAUAAAGAUACGAGUGAAAGAGUUCCAGUGCCAUAUAAAAGGAUGUGGUAUUUACCUUUGACGGAAAGGUUGCAGAGGUUGUAUCUGUCUGAACGCACAGCGCAACCAAUGAGAUGGCAUGCGGAGCACUCAACAGAUGGUGAGAUCAGACAUCCUUCAGAUGCAAAAGCGUGGAAGCAUUUCCAAUCAAAGUAUCCCGACUUUGCGUAUGAGAGAAGAAAUGUCUACCUUGGAUUAUGUACUGAUGGUUUCAGUCCGUUUGGCAAGAGUGGAAGACAGUAUUCUCUAUGGCCCGUCAUUCUUACACCAUACAACCUACCCCCAAACUUGUGCUUGCGACGAGAGUUUUUGUUUCUCUCGAUUCUCGUUCCCGGACCAGAGCAUCCUAAGAGAUCACUUGACGUGUUUCUUCAGCCACUAAUAUAUGAGUUGCAACAACUAUGGGCUCAAGGUGUUGAAACAUACGAUGUUUCGUGUAAAGAAAACUUUCAAAUGCGGGCAGUACUAAUGUGGACAAUAAGUGAUUUUCCAGCAUAUGGUAUGUUGUCCGGAUGGACAACGCAUGGAAGGCUAUCAUGUCCAUAUUGUCAAGAUAACACUGAUGUUUUCCAACUAAAACACGGAAGGAACACGUGUUGGUUUGACUGUCACAGGAGAUUCCUACCACCUGAUCAUCCAUAUCGUAGGAGUAGGAAUUUGUUUACGAAGAACAAGAGGGUGUUUGACAGUCCACCUCCGGAAAUUUGUGGGAAAGAUGCAUUUGGUGUUACAUCAGUAAAUUCGAGGACAUUCCGAGGAACGCUUGAGAUUCUCGAUCGAUCGAUGGGAUAAUCUAAUCGAUCGAUCACAUUGUUACGCUUUGGUCCAUCUUAGUGAUCGAUCGAUGCGUUUUUGGAUAUAUAUACAUCGAUCGAUCCGUUUAUAAAAAAACGUACGAGAUUUUCCGAGGACAUUCUGAGGAACGCUUGAGAUUCUCGAUCGAUCGAUGGGAUAAUUUAAUCGAUCGAUCACAUUGUUACGCUUUGGUCCAUCUUAGUGAUCGAUCGAUGCGUUUAUGGAUAUAUAUACAUCGAUCGAUCCGUUUAUAAAAAAACGUACGAGAUUUUGUUCUCGAUCGAUCACAUUGUUACCCCAAACCCUGUUUCUUCGGAAAAGCCUCAGAAUAUUCCAAGGAAAUUCCGAGGAACACCUGAUAUACUCUAUCGAUCGAUGCGUUUUGGUACAUAUAUCCAUCGAUCGAUCCGUUUAAAAAAAAAUUGACGUAUUGAAACUCCAAACACUAGUUCCUCGGAAUUUCCUCGGAAUUUCCUCGGAAUAUUCCGACGGAAUUCCGAGGAAGAAAAGGGUUUCCUCGGAAUUCCCUCGGAAUAAUCCGAGAAAAUUCCGAGGAAAUAGGGUUUUUAAACCGAAAACAACGUUUUGCGGUUUGAAUAACACCUAUAUAACCCUUAUUAAGUGUCUUACGUUCAUUAUGAAGUCAAAAUUUUUUUCCUUACCGGGAACGGGAUCAGCGCAUGGAUCAACCGUAUGAUGUACUCGGCCCUCGACAAGGGACAUCCGACUUUCACUCACAUCCCUACCGACAAGCAGGUUCUGUGAUUUCGUCAGUUUGCGGUAAGUAUUCUAAUUUUUUACUUAUAUUUUUAAUCUUUAAUAUAAAUUUUCUACUAAUUGUGUUUUUUUUUCAGCAAGAGUUCAACUGGAAUUCCGAUGAGACGCUCUUUAUCUAUCACCACUUCGUCCAUAAAGUUAUGGACAACUAUGGGAAGCAGAUCCACGAGUGGAAGAAGAAGUGGGAAAUCAAUAAGGUUCGAUUUAAUUUAUUAAACAAAUUUUUAAUUUAUUAAACUAUUUUUUAAUUUAUUAAACUAUAUUUUUUUUUUAUUAAAAGGUCCCAAAGUCGAUGAACGACACGGUCUGGAAGGAGUUGUGUACGCAUUGGGAUAAGGAAGAGACAAAAGAAACUUCUUCCACCAACUCCACCAACCGCAGGAGCGACCGUAAAGGGAAGGGCAUCUACAAGCAUAACUUGGGUGCUCAAUCUAUUGCCACUCUGGGAGAUCGCAUGGUAAGUUCAACCGCUUUUUCUUCAAUUAUUUUAGUUUCAGAAUUUUAAUUUAUUGUGCAUUUCUUCUAAUUUCUAAUGUUUCUUUAAUUUAUGUUUUUUUUCAAGGCGGAAGAAAAUGAUGGCUAGCCGGUUGAUGAUCUCGCCCUAAUGAGGAGGGCGUAUACCAACAAGAAGACCGGCCAGAUUGAUGACGGUCUUGUGAGGGACGUGGUCGACCUGGUCUAAACUCAGGUGGUAGACGAAGUGUCUCAGCUUCAAACCGAGGAUGACGCUUCGACGGCUUCGACCAACUUGUCCCAGUUUCGAAUCAACGAAAUCGUUGAAUCCGUAAGUUCUUUUUUUUAAAAAGUUCAAUUCAUUUAUUCUUGGUUUAAAUUUGUAAAUUUGGCUAUUUUCUAUUCAGUCGGUUCCAAAGAAGAAGGGACGUUUGGUCGGUUUGGGUCGGCGCACCCGGUCGGUUCCUCCUUCUUCUGCACCACCGCCCUUUGUUGAUCCAGAAGUACUUACGGCUCAGUUGAAGGACAAGGAUGAUCGCAUAUCUUUGUUGGAGACCCAGAUGGCGACUCAACAGGCGGGCUAUGAGGCACAGAGGAGGCUGAACCAGCAAAUGAUGGAGAUGAUGCAGAGGAUGUACCCGAACGAGGUGUUCCCGGACGUGCCAGACCCGUAGUUUUUUUUUUUCCAAAAACUCGGAAUGUUUUAUUUUUAUUUGUGAAACUUUGAAUAUUAAUUAAUAUGAUUUCAAUUUUAAUUUUAAUUUUAUAUUUUCGAAUUUAAAUUUCAAAAAUUUUAUUUUUUAAAAAAAAUUAAUAUUUUUUACAUUCCGAGGAAAUUAAUUAUAUUUUUUACUCGAUCGAUCGAUGCGUUUUUGGACAUAUAUCCAUCAAUCGAUCUGUUUAUAAAAAAACGUUCGGAAUAUACCGAGGGACAUCUUCCUCGGAAUAUACCGAGGGACACCUUUCUUCGGAAUAUACCGAGGGACAUGUUCCUCGGAAUAUUCCGAGGAAGAUGUCCCUCGGUAUAUUCCGAACGUUUAUUUAUAAACGGAUCGAUCGAUGGAUAUAUGUCCAAAAACGCAUCGAUCGAUGAACUUCCGAGGAAAUAUCCCGACGAAGUUCUCCCUCGGUAUAUUCCGAGGAGAUUUUCGACAAACUAGUGAUCCUCGGAAUUUCCUCGGAAAUUUGUUUCCUCGGAAUUCCGUCGGAAAAUUCCGAGGGAUUUCCGAGGAAAGAAGAAAUUCCGAGGAAUUAUUUCCGAGGACUUGUUUCGUCGGUAUGUCGUCGGAAUAACGUUAUUCCGACGAAAUUCCGACGAUUUUUUCCCUCAGUAUCCUUGCUGUUUUCUUGUAGUGCAAGAAAGCUAAUAGAUAUUAGCAAGUAAGAAGACAUAAGUACUUGAUGGCCAAGCAAAAGCCUAGAAUUGGAAUAUCACGACAUUCAAGCAAAAGGAGAAGACAUAUUCCAACAGAGCCAGAGCCAUGUUCAAGAUGAGACAAACAAAUGUGGGUCUAUAAGGGGACAUAAAGCAAAAACUCAAUAAAAAGUUAGGCUAGUGCCUAUAUCAGCUGGACACAUGGGAGAACCAGGUCCAUGCUAUAUAACAAUAUUAUCAAAAGCAGUGUUUUCAUAUAAGUAGGAGUAACUUUCUUCCCUAGUCCACUCUGUGGUCUAAAUAACCACCAGAGGCACUACACAGGAUACAAACAAAAGUUGAAAACACACACAGAAUCUAUGUAUAGAGAGUGACAAAGAAAAGGAUAAGAAGGUACUUCCAUUGAAAGUACGGAGUGUCUGAUAUAUAUUGAAUGUAUAACUAUUGUAAUUAUCAGUCAACAAAGUCCUCACAAAGUCAAGCCUUUCCAUAGAGUCUUUUUUCGGUAGACUCUUGUUAGCAAUGGAUGAAUCUUCCAAGUGCCCUGGCGCAAUAUGUUUCGAGAUCGCUUGCCAAACCCAACACUCCAGCUGAUCCACCAUGACUCUCUCCAUCCUCCACUCUACAACCCUACAACCCGCUCGACACCGUCUCCGACGUUCUCAACGCCGCUUUCUUCCGUUAAAUCUCCCGUUCCCGUCUUUACCCAACCAAAAGCAAUCUCAAGUGCUGUCCAAUCUCAAACGGAGGCGAAUACUUCAUGAGUAUCUCAAUCGGUACUCGACCAACAGCCUUCAGAUCGUCAAAUAACAUAAGAGAGUUAGACGACGCUUGGAUUAAGCCGCUUCUAUCAUGUUCUAUGCUUGGACUCAGACAGAGUAUAUGACGACUAUUUCUUAUCAAUACAUAUAGGCCCAAACAAUUUAAACUCAACAACUGAGCCCAAUAAAAAACUUCGAAUAAAUGAAACGAUGAGUUUCAUAAUACUGGGACACGUGGCACAAUGAUGUAAAGUGACUUUCCUAACUGGAAUCCUAUGUGUCACAAUGAGGAGGGAGUAAAACACUUAUUUAUAUAAUUAGAUAACUAUGUAUAUAACACAUAAUCGGUUGAAUCGAAUGUUUUGGUUCAGAUCUCAGUACAUAACCAAACCGACCCGGUGUCCGAAGUGCUUAGAGCUAAAAACCCAUUCGGUAUUUGCCUGGUCCCGUUACCGAACCGGACCCAUUAUUUUGGUUCGGUUUAAGGUGUGGACUCCGGUUUAAGUUAAAACCCCCAGCCCUAGGGUAAAUGAUAAAACAUUUGGUUGUGUAUCUCCUCGGUGGUAUGGAAAACGUAAUAGAAUCCGAACUUACUAGACCGGUACGCGAUUUAUUUUUCGUCUUACGUCGUAAGAUGUCGAAUAAGGAAAAAGCAACGUCAUUAUACAUGUUAAUCCGGUUAUCUUUGAUCCUUUUCGAGGACAUUUCGGUUUACCUUUUUGUUUGUUCAAUACGCCACUCCGGUUUAAAAAAAAAAAUCGGGAAGAGUUAGGAAAAAAGGAAAAUCUCAUCUCACCCCCUCGACGACAAGACAACCACCACCCUUAGGGUUAAAAAGGUUUAUUUAUCUGAUUAUUAUUCUCUCUACUCGUUCGUUCUCCCUUUAAUUCCGAUUUCGAUUUCGAUUUGUCUUCUCCGAUUUGCUCUCUAGACACUCACAGUAGGGUUUCUAAUUCGGAUCUGUACACCUUUUGCCAUGGAUGCUCGUAAGAGAGGACGGCCUGAAGCUGGCUCAUUCAACUCCAAUGGCGGUGGAUUCAAGAAGUCGAAGCAAGGUUAGCUCUUUCGCCUCGUCCUCUUACUUUUCUAUCUCAAAAGAGUGUUAUAGUUCUGUUGUGCUUCACUUGCUCUGUUAAAGGUUGAAACUUUAGAUCUUUAUUGCUUGAUGGAUAGUUUCUCUGUGUCAAUUGGAUUUGGGGUAGCGAUGAUUUCUUCAAUUCGAGCUUCGUAAUAUUUUUUGCUCAACAAAAGUUUUUGUUUUUAGUUAUGAGAUUCUCUAGGAUUCAAGUUUGGAUCUUUCUUUCGUGCUCACUUGCUGCAGUCUUUGAUCUGAUGCAAAUCUAAAGUCAAUUAAUUUUUCAGUUUAAUUGUGGAUGAGCUUUUGAUAAGUGAUGUUAAAGUUAGUUUGAGUGCUGUUCGUAGCAAGCUUAUUGUUAUUUGACUUUCUCUUGAGUUUCAUUAUUGCUUUAGUUUAAUCCCUUUUGCAUUAGCUAGUAACAUCUUAUCACCAUGCCCAAAGCUUGAGUUUGCUGUGAUUGAAUUAGCCUUUUUAUGUGUUAGUUAUUCAUGUGUCUAGUUGUUGGUAAAUAAUCCUGAAAAUUCUAGAGAAUAUAUCUUGCAGCUUUGAUUUAUGUGUGAAGUUACAUAUAGAUGAAUUUGAUAUGUAUGAUUCUAAAAGCAAAUAUUAUUGAACAUCAGCAAAGUCUUAACUAAAGAAAAACACUUAAUCUUUGGAACAGAGAUGGAAUCUGGUUUAGGAAGCAAAUCGAAGCCAUGCACAAAAUUUUUCAGGUUAUAAUCCUUUUCUUAACUAAAUUAAUAUUUAAAAUUGUUAUUUAUAGUCUGAGCUUUAAAUUGACAAGUAAAAAUGUAUGCUAAUGAAGUAGUUAGUUGUUAUUACAGGUAUGCAUCAUCCUUCAUGCUAAACAAGUUAAAAAAAAGUUUCAGUAUAACAAAUAUGAUAUUCACUAGGAACGGAAAAACAAAUCUGGAUUAUAAAUUUAGAAAUAUUAAGCUCAACUGGUGAUUAUAGCUUAGAAAAUCAAUCCACACCUUUUGUUUGAGCUGUGGCAGUAGUUAAGAUAUGUGUUGUAAUUCUCUGUUUGGUGGUAAGAUAUUAGUUAUUGUGUUUGUAUCAUCAUGGUCAUAUAGUGUCUAGUAAGGUUGUUGCAUUACUGAAUACUGGUGAACAUGUCCGUCAUAGACAAGCAGUUAGCAUAGUUGCUAUGUGCCAAUUCUUCUGUGUUUCAACUGUUUGUUCUCUUGUGUCUUCUCAAUGCCAAUGGUUUUUAACUUUCUGACGUAUUUGUUAUCCUUCUUUUGCAGCACUUCUGGCUGUCCUUUUGGUGAGAACUGCCAUUUCUUGCACUUUGUUCCCGGAGGAUACAAUCCUAUGGCACAGAUGACAAACAUGGGAUCACCCAUGUCUCAAGUUUCCAGAAACAUGCAAGGUGGUGGUGGUGGUGGGGGCCGAUUUUCGGGGAGAGGAGAGUCUGGACCUGGCCACGUCUCUAGCUUUGGUGCCUCAGCCACAGCCAAAAUCAGUGUGGAUGCUUCCUUGGCAGGCGCAAUCAUUGGAAAAGGUGGAGUCUGUUCGAAACAGAUAUGUCGUCAAACAGGAGCAAAGCUAUCGAUCCAAGACCACGAGAGAGAUCCCAACCUGAAGAACAUUGAGCUUGAAGGAACAUUCGAGCAGAUCAACGAAGCGAGCGCAAUGGUUAGAGAGCUGAUUGGGAGGCUUAAUUCUGCAUCUAGGAGACCACCUGGUGGUGGUGGCGGUGGACUUGGUUCAGAAGGGAAACCGCAUCCAGGGAGCAACUUCAAAACGAAGAUGUGUGAGAGAUUCUCGAAAGGAAGCUGUACAUUUGGUGAUAGAUGUCACUUUGCACACGGGGAAGCAGAGCUACGCAGGUCAUGAAUUGCGCCUAGAGUUGCUGGUGGAGUUAGAGAGUUUGCUGGCGAAACAAGUCUCUUUCAUUUGUUGUGGUGAUUCCUAAUAUCAUCUUCUCCUACUUGUUUUUAGUUGUCUUUGUUUUUUGAGACUACAAUGUUUAGUUUUCAUUGUCAGUGUAAGUUUUCCCCAUUUGGUGUUUUUUUAGAAUCUAGUUUGAAUUUGAGAUGGGGGGAUGCUUGAUGAAUGAUUGACAAAACAGUGGUUAGGAUUUGUAUGCUGUUUCUACUUAAUAUUUCAUGUUUUCUCUGCUUUAUUUUGGUCAGUAAGUUCAUGUGUUUCUCUGACAUGUGUGUGAUUAUCAGCUUUGAUUAUUUUCCGAGUAUGUAGAUGUUAUAGUUCUCUUAUGAUAGACAAUAUAACUAAAAAUUCAUGUUAAUAAUAGCCGUCGCUGAUAGUAACAGCUGAAUAAAUGAAAUGAAAUCAUGGUAGGUGAUGAUCUUAAAAAAAAUGUUGAAAAUAAUGUGCGUUGUUACAAUAGCAUCUCCUAACCACUUUUAUAUAUGUCUCUAUAAUAGCAUUUAGAUUUAGAAGUAAAAUCACUGCAAUCCUACUUUAUUUCUUCCUCUAAAAUAAAAAUUGUUAUUUUCACGGAAAUACAUUCCUUUAUAAUAAAAACAUACUUUUUUAUUCACAAAAUAAUCUUUUAAUUUUUUAUUUUAACAAUUAUAACCAAAAUAAAUAUUUUUUAAUGAAAAUGUACUGUUUAUAUAAAUAUAUAAUCAUACUUUUUAUUUACAUAAUAGUUUCUAUAAAAAUAUUCAGUAUAAAUAAUAUCAUAGUUUUAUGAAUGUUACACUAAAUUGGAUUGGUUUUCAACUUUCACAAAUAAAAAGUACUAUUUAUAAAAUUAGAAAAAAAUAUAUCAAGACUAUUCUUUUUUAGAGGAAGAAAUAGAAGAAUACAUUGGAAACAAAUCUAUCUCUAUUAUAUAGUUUUCCUAUUUUAGAAAAAAAAAAUAGAGAAAUACAUUGGAGAUGGUUUAAGCGGUAGUAACACAAAGAAAAACUCUAAAUAUCUUAAGAGCAUCUCUAAUGUACACUUCUGUAAUUUCUUCUAAAAUAGAGAUCUCUAUUAUAGAGGUGAAAAUGCUCCAAUGUAUGCCUCUAUAAUAGAAUUCAUCUAUUUUAAAAGAAAAUAUAGAGAAAAAUUACUUUUUGCUUUUAUAUUUAAAGGUGGAAAUAAAAUAUCUCUAUAUAAAUAAAUAAACUCUAUUAUACAUGUAUACAUUGGAGCAUUUUCACUUUUAUAAUAGAGUUUUUUUAUUUUAAGAAAAAAUAUAGAGAUAGAAAUAGAAAUAGAAAUAGAGAUGAGUUGGAGAUUAGAAAUAGAGAUGAGUUUGAGAUGUUGUUACGUAAGAAAGAGCUAGAGCUUUAAUAAAGUACUUAAAUUAAUUACUAGUCGGCAGUCGCUGCCUACUUGUUUACCACCUAAAUUAAUUUAUUAUAAUAUAUAUUACGAAUCUCCAAAGUACACAUCACACACACUCUACUCACGUGAUCUCAACCACAAUGUCUGCAGAUAUUUUUUAUAGUUUUUUCUCACAUGGGAGAGAAGAAGCCAAGCACGAUCCUCCAUCCUCAACUUUAUAGCAUUUUUUUCUUUUCUUUCCGGCUACCACUUGUGAGUCGAGUCGGCAAGGGCGUUUCCUUAUAUUAAAGUAAAGACAUCAAAUACCAUCGUCUUAAUGCUAAUUAACGUAAUUGAUGAGUUCUAUAACAUAAUCCAAACUAGUCUUUGUGAACAUUAGGAUUGGGUAAACCAAUAUUUACAUUUUAAAAACAAAAUACAAAAAGAAACGUGAUAAACUUUAUAAAAGCAAUUAUAUGAUCACUGCAUCUUUUCCACUUUUCCGUAAAUAAAUACAUAAAAGUGCCGUAAAUAUCAGAUAUUUGGAGUAGAAAAGUAAUAAAGAAAAGAAAUAUGAGGAGAGGGAAUAAUGGAGGGGGCCCACUUGUAAAAAAGAAAGAAAAGAGAUGUCACUCAAUCGUCUCCCACGGGCCCCCGUCAAUUUAAACGGCCUGCCUUCUGCCCAAUCGCAUCUUAUCAGAACCAGACAGAUUCAUUACCAAAGAGAUAGAGAAAGAGAGAGAGAGAGAGAGAGAGAGAGAGUGAGUUUGAGGAGGAGCUUCUUCGUAGGGUUCAUCGUUAUUAACGUUAAAUCUUCACCCCCUACGUCAGCCAGCUCAAGGUCCCUUUCUUCUUCCAUUUCUUUUCAUUCUACGUUGUUUUCAAUCUUAUGAAACUUUCUGGUCUGUGCUUUUCUUAUCGCUUUUCUAUUCUAUCUAUCAUUUUUGCAUUUCAGUCGAUUUAAUUCUAGAUCUGUUAAUAUUAAACUAUAGAUCUGUUCUUGAUUCUCUGUUUUCAUGUGUGAAAUCUGAUGCUGUAUUAAUCUGAUUAUAUUGUCUAUACCGUGGAGAAUAUCAAAUGUUGCAUUUUCAUUUGUCCGAAUACAAAGUGUUUGACUUUCAAUCGUUUUUAAUUAUAUAUAUAUAUAUAUUUUUUGAUGGGUUGGUGGAGUUGAAAAAUCACCAUAGCAGUCUCACGUCCUGGUUUUAGAAAUAUCCUAUUCAAAAUUAUAUAUUUGUUUACUUGUUUUAGAUCUGGACCUGAGACAUAUAAGUACCUAUUUGUUGAAUCUUUGGGUAAAAACUUAUGUCUCUGGGUAAAAUUUGCUGGGAGAUUUGACCGAUUCCUAUUGGCUCUUGAUUCUGUAGUUACGUAAUACAUGAAAAAGUUUCAUUUGGCCUAUGCUCACUUCAUGCUUAUAAACGUUUUCUUGCAAAUUAAUUGGAUUAGAUGUUAUUUCAUAGAUUCAGUCAUUCAGAUACAAUGGAGUUGCAUGAAGAAAAUAAUAGAAUUCGUGACAGUAAAAAAGAUUGUAUUUUUGUUUGUUUGUUUAUGUUUAAAAGUCUAUAUGUUGACAAUAGAGUUGCUCUCAACUGUUUCAUUUAGCUUCUUUUUUUGUCAAGUUGCUUAUUCUUAGAGACAUUGUGAUUAUGACUUGUCUUCUUUAACGUAGUUUAGUAAUAAAAGACGAAAGAAAUUGAUAUCCACAAGAAAGAGAUGUGAGCUGUAGCGUAUCAAAUCUCGUUCAUUUACUAGUAGUAUUCUCAACGCUAUCGUUUAUUUAUUUUUCUUUCGUUGGUUUGCCACUAUAUGCCACUUCUCUCCUCUUUGUCCCACGUACUAUCCAUUUUUUUUGUGGUAGUCCAUUUUCUUGUAACUUAUAAUAACGUAACUCUGAAUCUUUUGUCUGUAGAUUAAUUUGUUGGUUUAAUUAACUUUUAAGUCUUUGCUUUUGGCUUAUGCAGAAACAUGGGUGCAGGUGGAAGAAUGCAAGUGUCUCCUCCCUCCAAGAAGUCUGAAACCGACACCAUCAAGCGCGUACCCUGCGAGACACCGCCCUUCACUGUCGGAGAACUCAAGAAAGCAAUCCCACCGCACUGUUUCAAACGCUCGAUCCCUCGCUCUUUCUCCUACCUCAUCUGGGACAUCAUCAUAGCCUCCUGCUUCUACUACGUCGCCACCACUUACUUCCCUCUCCUCCCUCACCCUCUCUCCUACUUCGCCUGGCCUCUCUACUGGGCCUGCCAGGGCUGCGUCCUAACCGGCGUCUGGGUCAUAGCCCACGAGUGCGGCCACCACGCCUUCAGCGACUACCAGUGGCUGGACGACACCGUCGGCCUCAUCUUCCACUCCUUCCUCCUCGUCCCUUACUUCUCCUGGAAGUACAGUCAUCGACGCCACCAUUCCAACACUGGCUCCCUCGAGAGAGACGAAGUGUUUGUCCCCAAGAAGAAGUCAGACAUCAAGUGGUACGGCAAGUACCUCAACAACCCUUUGGGACGCACCGUGAUGUUAACGGUUCAGUUCACUCUCGGCUGGCCGUUGUACUUAGCCUUCAACGUCUCGGGAAGACCUUACGACGGCGGCUUCGCUUGCCAUUUCCACCCCAACGCUCCCAUCUACAACGACCGCGAGCGUCUCCAGAUAUACAUCUCCGACGCUGGCAUCCUCGCCGUCUGCUACGGUCUCUUCCGUUACGCCGCCGCGCAGGGAGUGGCCUCGAUGGUCUGCUUCUACGGAGUCCCGCUUCUGAUUGUCAAUGGUUUCCUCGUGUUGAUCACUUACUUGCAGCACACGCAUCCUUCCCUGCCUCACUACGAUUCGUCCGAGUGGGAUUGGUUGAGGGGAGCUUUGGCUACCGUUGACAGAGACUACGGAAUCUUGAACAAGGUCUUCCACAAUAUUACCGACACGCACGUGGCGCAUCAUCUGUUCUCCACGAUGCCGCAUUAUCACGCGAUGGAAGCUACCAAGGCGAUAAAGCCGAUACUGGGAGAGUAUUAUCAGUUCGAUGGGACGCCGGUGGUUAAGGCGAUGUGGAGGGAGGCGAAGGAGUGUAUCUAUGUGGAACCGGACAGGCAAGGUGAGAAGAAAGGUGUGUUCUGGUACAACAAUAAGUUAUGAGGAUAUGAUGAUGGUGAAAGAACAAAGAAGAUAUUGUCACGAACCUUUCUCUUGCUGUCUCUGGUCGUCUUUGUUUUAAGAAGCUAUGUUUUCGUUUCAAUAAUCUUAACUAUCCAUUUUGUUGUGUUUUCUGACAUUUUGGCUAAGUUAUGUGAUGUGGGACACGUUAGUGUCUAAAAUGUCUCUGUGUCUGUAUUGUUCUUCUCAUCUGUGACUUUCGGACAACUAAACUCUUGUUCUCGAACUACCUCAAUGUGGCAUUAAUGAAAGUGUUAUUGUUGAUUUUAAUCUGAAACUGCUAUUAUUUAGUGAAUUUUUACAUCAGCCAACUUGUUUGUUUAAGACCUACCAAUGGUAUAAGAAGGUUUGUGUACUAAUGUUCACCAUGUCCAUAGUGUUAAGACAUAACCAUGAUCUUCUGUCCAAUUAAUUUGCGUCGAGUUAUCGUGUUAUUUGGCACCUUUACUAUGUUUUUUUGUAAAGAACUCCUUACAGAAUAGCUUUUUGUAAAGAACUACGUUUUAUCUUUUUGUAAGAACCUUUUAACAAAAGCCAAAUUCAUUAUUACCUGGCACAAGAAAAAACUCUGGUUUCUUCCUCUUUCUCUGUUUUUAGAUUUGAGGAGGAACAUGAAGAUGAAGAAAAAGAAACAAAUAAAUAACAAAUCUCUUUUUUUCCAUUAACGGCAGAAACACCAAAACAGAGUGACAACAAGAAACAAAUGUAGUGAGGAAAAACCAAAGAAAAAAGAAUAUUCUGAAACCAACUCGUUGAACAUAUUCAAAUACGAAACAAUCUUUCAUCCAACGGCGAGCGUAAUCUAGAAGCAUUUCCUGUGGACUAUCGAUGGCCCUGCCUCAUCAUACUCAGCCUUUGCUAUCCACAUCUGCAAGACCAACAUUGUGUAUCAUAGUCAGCUUAAAAACGAGUAACAAGCAGAAUCGACAAUUUUACCUGUUGGAAGGUACUGAGUGAUGCUAGAAUAGAUCCUCCAAUCCAAACACUAUACUUCCUCUCCGGUGGAGCAACCACCUUAAUCUUCAUACUACUCGGAGCCAAAGCAGUAAUCUCCUUACUCAUCCUAUCAGCAAUCCCAGGGAACAUCGUGGUACCACCACUAAGCACAAUGUUUCCAUACAAAUCUUUCCUAAUAUCCACAUCACAUUUCAUGAUCGAAUUGUAAGUCGUCUCGUGGAUACCAGCAGCUUCCAUUCCGACCAAAGACGGCUGGAAAAGAACCUCAGGACACCUGAACCUCUCCCCUCCGAUGGUGAUCACCUGUCCAUCAGGCAACUCGUAGCUCUUGUCGACGGAUGAGCUAGUGUUCGCCGUCUCCAUCUCUUGCUCGUAGUCAAGUGCUAUGUAAGCGAGUUUCUCUUUCACGUCUCUCACGAUCUCACGCUCUGCUGUUGUUGUGAACGAGUAGCCACGCUCGGUUAAAAUCUUCAUGAGGUAGUCAGUGAGGUCACGACCUGCGAGAUCAAGACGCAGAAUGGCGUGUGGAAGAGCAUAUCCUUCGUAGAUUGGAACAGUGUGACUCACACCAUCUCCAGAGUCCAAUACAAUACCUGAAACAAUGAUUCCACAUCAAUAAAAGUGUUCUACCUUUUUUUUUAUCAACAAAAGUGUUCUUCUACCUUAUAAACUCUCUAGAUAAUUAUAACAUAAUAAUAAUAAAUAAUUUAUAAUUAUAAUAAUUAAUAUUUUUUAGUAUAAAAUCUUAUGAGAAUAAACAAUAUAAAUAUUAUUAUUUGUAAAUAUUUAAACUCUUAUAUUAUUAUUUUUUUCCAACCACUACACUCUUAUAUUACAUAUAUUGUUAUAAUUGGUAAACAACUAGGUCGAAGAUAGGCAUUGAGUUACCGUCUCAGCGCUAAAAUGUCUACUAAAAUUAUAUUACAUUACAUUGAGAAAGCUAAGAUGAACAUCAUAAACCAAUGGUGUUUGAAGAUCUUACCAGUAGUACGACCACUGGCGUAGAGGGACAAAACAGCUUGGAUAGCGACAUACAUAGCGGGGGUGUUGAACGUUUCAAACAUAAUCUGAGUCAUUUUCUCACGAUUAGCUUUAGGAUUGAGAGGAGCCUCUGUGAGAAGAACGGGAUGCUCUUCAGGUGCAACACGCAGCUCGUUGUAGAAAGUGUGAUGCCAAAUCUUCUCCAUGUCAUCCCAGUUGCUGACAAUACCAUGCUCAAUAGGGUACUUGAGAGUCAAGAUACCUCUCUUUGACUGAGCCUCGUCACCAACGUAAGCAUCUUUUUGCCCCAUACCAACCAUCACACCAGUGUGACGUGGUCUACCAACAAUGCUUGGGAACACAGCUCUUGGUGCAUCGUCUCCCGCGAAUCCAGCCUUUCAUAUAGAGAUUUGGAGGUAAGAAAAUUAAAAGAUUUUCAGACAGCAUUAUAUUAAACAAAGUUGUUACGUUUAUGAUUGAUUACCUUAACCAUUCCUGUUCCAUUGUCACACACUAGUGGCUGAAUGUCCUCUCCAUCUGCCAUUUUCUAAUGAUUCUGAAACUAUAUAUAUAUAUAUAUAUCCCUCACCCUCUCUCCUACUUCGCCUGGCCUCUCUACUGGGCCUGCCAGGGCUGCGUCCUAACCGGCGUCUGGGUCAUAGCCCACGAGUGCGGCCACCACGCCUUCAGCGACUACCAGUGGCUGGACGACACCGUCGGCCUCAUCUUCCACUCCUUCCUCCUCGUCCCUUACUUCUCCUGGAAGUACAGUCAUCGACGCCACCAUUCCAACACUGGCUCCCUCGAGAGAGACGAAGUGUUUGUCCCCAAGAAGAAGUCAGACAUCAAGUGGUACGGCAAGUACCUCAACAACCCUUUGGGACGCACCGUGAUGUUAACGGUUCAGUUCACUCUCGGCUGGCCGUUGUACUUAGCCUUCAACGUCUCGGGAAGACCUUACGACGGCGGCUUCGCUUGCCAUUUCCACCCCAACGCUCCCAUCUACAACGACCGCGAGCGUCUCCAGAUAUACAUCUCCGACGCUGGCAUCCUCGCCGUCUGCUACGGUCUCUUCCGUUACGCCGCCGCGCAGGGAGUGGCCUCGAUGGUCUGCUUCUACGGAGUCCCGCUUCUGAUUGUCAAUGGUUUCCUCGUGUUGAUCACUUACUUGCAGCACACGCAUCCUUCCCUGCCUCACUACGAUUCGUCCGAGUGGGAUUGGUUGAGGGGAGCUUUGGCUACCGUUGACAGAGACUACGGAAUCUUGAACAAGGUCUUCCACAAUAUUACCGACACGCACGUGGCGCAUCAUCUGUUCUCCACGAUGCCGCAUUAUCACGCGAUGGAAGCUACCAAGGCGAUAAAGCCGAUACUGGGAGAGUAUUAUCAGUUCGAUGGGACGCCGGUGGUUAAGGCGAUGUGGAGGGAGGCGAAGGAGUGUAUCUAUGUGGAACCGGACAGGCAAGGUGAGAAGAAAGGUGUGUUCUGGUACAACAAUAAGUUAUGAGGAUAUGAUGAUGGUGAAAGAACAAAGAAGAUAUUGUCACGAACCUUUCUCUUGCUGUCUCUGGUCGUCUUUGUUUUAAGAAGCUAUGUUUUCGUUUCAAUAAUCUUAACUAUCCAUUUUGUUGUGUUUUCUGACAUUUUGGCUAAGUUAUGUGAUGUGGGACACGUUAGUGUCUAAAAUGUCUCUGUGUCUGUAUUGUUCUUCUCAUCUGUGACUUUCGGACAACUAAACUCUUGUUCUCGAACUACCUCAAUGUGGCAUUAAUGAAAGUGUUAUUGUUGAUUUUAAUCUGAAACUGCUAUUAUUUAGUGAAUUUUUACAUCAGCCAACUUGUUUGUUUA